UUAUACGAGAGACCCAAGUUGAUGCCUACGGCGUAAAGCGUGAUUAUAGGUCAACAAAAACUAAAGCCAAAGCCCCUCAAAGCUGUUAUACGCACAUCGAAGGUCCUAAGCCCAAAAACGAAAGUAGCUUUAACCUAACUAACCUAGACCACACGACAGUUGGGGUACAAACUGGGAUUAGAUACCCCACUAUGCCCAACCAUAAACCUUGAUAAUAAAAUACAAAUAUUAUCCGCCAGGGAACUACAAGCACAAUGCUCGAAACCCAACGGACUUGGCGGUGCCCCACACCCCCCUAGAGGAGCCUGUUCUACAACUGACAACCCCCGUUAAACCUCACCGCCCCUAGCCUAGUCAGUCUAUAUACCACCGUCGUAAGCUCACCCUGUGAAGGCCCAAUAGUAAGCAAAAUGAGCACAGCUCAACACGUCAGGUCGAGGUGUAGCACACGGGGCGGGAAGAAAUGGGCUACAUUUUCUGCCCAACAGAACACCAACGAACAACGACAUGAAAACAGCGUUUAAAGGAGGAUUUAGCAGUAAAAAGAAAACAUAGAGUUCUUUUGAAGCCGGCCCUGGGGCGCGCACACACCGCCCGUCACUCUCCACGUCCCUACAAAACAAAACACAAAACUAAAUAAUAUAAUAAUAACCACUACAGUGGAGACAAGUCG
This 673-nucleotide ribosomal RNA is filed under the name Petrocephalus schoutedeni. RNAcentral's name for it is "partial 12S ribosomal RNA". It matches the Rfam family "Bacterial small subunit ribosomal RNA", at positions 521 to 1488 of the family's 1533-position model. Lineage: Eukaryota; Metazoa; Chordata; Actinopteri; Osteoglossiformes; Mormyridae. The record is from RNAcentral.